GACGAACGCUGGCGGCGUGCUUAACACAUGCAAGUCGAACGAAAAGAGGGAAAGAGCUUGCUCUUUCCGGAAUUGAGUGGCAAACGGGUGAGUAACACGUAAACAACCUGCCUUCAGGAUGGGGACAACAGACGGAAACGACUGCUAAUACCGAAUAAGUUCCAAGAGCCGCAUGGCCCAUGGAAGAAAAGGUGGCCUCUACCUGUAAGCUAUCGCCUGAAGAGGGGUUUGCGUCUGAUUAGCUGGUUGGAGGGGUAACGGCCCACCAAGGCGACGAUCAGUAGCCGGUCUGAGAGGAUGAACGGCCACACUGGAACUGAGACACGGUCCAGACUCCUACGGGAGGCAGCAGUGGGGGAUAUUGCACAAUGGGGGAAACCCUGAUGCAGCGACGCCGCGUGGAGGAAGAAGGUUUUCGGAUUGUAAACUCCUGUCGUUAGGGACGAUAAUGACGGUACCUAACAAGAAAGCACCGGCUAACUACGUG
Molecule: ribosomal RNA, 487 nt
Filed under: uncultured bacterium
Lineage: Bacteria
Description: bacterial SSU rRNA
Rfam family: Bacterial small subunit ribosomal RNA
Source: RNAcentral